GCGAUGAGCUAAUUUGUGUAAGUCGAAGGAUAUGCUUUUGCUAAACGUAUGAAUGUGGUCAUACGGUCCUCGCCUCAAAACGCAUCAAAGACGCCCAAUUGGGCGUCU
This 108-nucleotide small RNA is filed under the name Priestia veravalensis. Its description in RNAcentral is "Bacillus sp. SGD-V-76 BsrF". It matches the Rfam family "BsrF". Lineage: Bacteria; Bacillati; Bacillota; Bacilli; Caryophanales; Bacillaceae. The record is from Rfam by way of RNAcentral.